RNAcentral lists this ribosomal RNA (253 nucleotides) under uncultured bacterium. Its description in RNAcentral is "partial 16S ribosomal RNA". It matches the Rfam family "Bacterial small subunit ribosomal RNA", at positions 524 to 776 of the family's 1533-position model. The record is from RNAcentral.
UACGGAGGGGGCUAGCGUUGUUCGGAAUUACUGGGCGUAAAGCGCACGUAGGCGGCUUUGUAAGUUAGAGGUGAAAGCCCAGGGCUCAACCCUGGAACUGCCUUUAAGACUGCAUCGCUUGAACAUCGGAGAGGUAAGUGGAAUUCCGAGUGUAGAGGUGAAAUUCGUAGAUAUUCGGAAGAACACCAGUGGCGAAGGCGGCUUUCUGGGCCUUACCUGACGCUGAGACGCGAAAGCGUGGGGAGCGAACCGG